GUGGGGAAUAUUGGACAAUGGGCGAAAGCCUGAUCCAGCCAUGCCGCGUGUGUGAAGAAGGUCUUCGGAUUGUAAAGCACUUUAAGUUGGGAGGAAGGGCAGUAAGUUAAUACCUUGCUGUUUUGACGUUACCGACAGAAUAAGCACCGGCUAACUUCGUGCCAGCAGCCGCGGUAAUACGAAGGGUGCAAGCGUUAAUCGGAAUUACUGGGCGUAAAGCGCGCGUAGGUGGUUUUGUAAGUUGGAGGUGAAAUCCCCGGGCUCAACCUGGGAACUGCCUCCAAAACUGCAUGACUAGAGUACGGUAGAGGGUAGUGGAAUUUCCUGUGUAGCGGUGAAAUGCGUAGAUAUAGGAAGGAACACCAGUGGCGAAGGCGACUACCUGGACUGAUACUGACACUGAGGUGCGAAAGCGUGGGGAGCUAACAGGAUUAGAUACCCCAGUAGUCC
This 450-nucleotide ribosomal RNA is filed under the name uncultured bacterium. RNAcentral describes it as "partial 16S ribosomal RNA". It matches the Rfam family "Bacterial small subunit ribosomal RNA", at positions 354 to 796 of the family's 1533-position model. The record is from RNAcentral.